GACGAACCGUGCGAACGUUAUUCGGAAUCAUUGGGCGUAAAGCGCGUGUAGGCGGUCCGGUAAGUCCGCUGUGAAAGUCGGGGGCUCAACCCUCGAAUGCCGGUGGAUACUGUCGGGCCAGAGUGCGGAAGAGGCGAGUGGAAUUCCUGGUGUAGCGGUGAAAUGCGCAGAUAUCAGGAGGAACACCUAUUGCGAAGGCAGCUCGCUGGGACGUAACUGACGCUGAGACGCGAAAGCGUGGGGAGCAAACAGG
Molecule: ribosomal RNA, 253 nt
Filed under: uncultured bacterium
Lineage: Bacteria
Description: partial 16S ribosomal RNA
Rfam family: Bacterial small subunit ribosomal RNA
Source: RNAcentral